This 602-nucleotide small RNA is filed under the name Drosophila pseudoobscura pseudoobscura. RNAcentral describes it as "GA31175". Lineage: Eukaryota; Metazoa; Arthropoda; Insecta; Diptera; Drosophilidae. The record is from RNAcentral.
GUGCGGUAUGCGAUAACACGCACUCCACCCGGUCGUUUCCCGAACUCGUCGUCCUUCUUCAUCUAUCGCAUAACUGUGGCGCUUCCUAUCUGGACCUACACCAACGAAAGUAGCAAAAAGCCGGCGCCGUUUGAACUGAAAAAUGUAUUUGAUGUAUGGCCGGCUAGCCAGUCAUCCCAGGGCUGGGUGCUUCCCAAGCCUUCAGGUCGCACAAUAUACCAACUGAUGGGACAUCUCGGACAAUUGAAACAACUAAAAUAACCGACAAAACAAAUUGCAAAUGGACACUACUCGACAAUCAAUAUCCCAUUCCCCUAACAUAGAUGUGGACCAGGUCGAGGUGUCGGUGUCUUACCUCUGACGUGCCCGUCCUACCUGAGAUCCGGGUCAUAACGUUCUGAAUCUCCCUGCCAUGUGCAGUCACCCUCUCGGUUUUGCGGAUCCUCCUCCCCCAUACGAAACAAUUAGAAAUUCAUUAUUUUAUUUCCUUAUAAUUUUUAUCUCAACAUCACAAUUUUACAUAUGGGUACCUGUACUAACCUACGCAUGCCUAUUCAUGCCCCACUCAUCUUAUUCUUACGGGUGAUUAUAUAAAUAAAUGG